UAACAUAAGUAACCUGCCCUAGACAGGGGGAGUGACUAUUGGAAACGAUAGCUAAGACCGCAUAGGUACGGACACUGCAUGGUGACCGUAUUAAAAGUGCCUCAAAGCACUGGUAGAGGAUGGACUUAUGGCGCAUUAGCUGGUUGGCGGGGUAACGGCCCACCAAGGCGACGAUGCGUAGCCGACCUGAGAGGGUGACCGGCCACACUGGGACUGAGACACGGUCCAA
This 229-nucleotide ribosomal RNA is filed under the name uncultured bacterium. Its description in RNAcentral is "partial 16S ribosomal RNA". It matches the Rfam family "Bacterial small subunit ribosomal RNA", at positions 113 to 334 of the family's 1533-position model. The record is from RNAcentral.